Molecule: long non-coding RNA, 770 nt
Filed under: Prunus dulcis (almond)
Lineage: Eukaryota; Viridiplantae; Streptophyta; Magnoliopsida; Rosales; Rosaceae
Description: sRNA ncRNA
Source: RNAcentral
ACCCCUAAAGUUACAAAUAGUAUAAUCAACAUUAUACAUUGAUAAAAAGUUUAAAGUAAUUCUAGAAAGGUCACAUUUGUAUAGAGAAAAAAAAAAUAUAUCAUUACAUUAGAAAAAGAACGAUAUUUAAAAAAAAAAAUUGAUUACAAAAUAACAUAAGAACAAAAACAAGGACACAACCCCAAAAUUUAUAUUAGGGUUAGUCAUUUAUUCUUUUAAACAAAACAAAAAAAGGGCAAUAAAUUUUCAAUCUUCUCAAUCCCAUGCACCAAAAUAAGUUAGUGUGUUAUAUCACUAACAUUUCUUAGUGCAUGUACAUCUCAGCCUGAAGCCAGGACAUUUGCCUCCCAUGAAGCCCUCUUUUUGGCAAGCAUCUGCACAGCUGCUUGAUCGUAAGCAAAAUCCCUUGAAUUUCGUGCUCAGAGACUCACAAGUCCUUGACUCUCCUUUGUUGCGACCUUGCCCUCAGCAACCAUUGGACCCGUCCCUGCCAAACAUUCAUCGAUAAAAAUUAACGAGAGAAGGUGGAUUCAAACUUGAAACAUCUUCUAGCAUUGGAAAGAAAUAUACCACUAAUCAAAUAUAAAAUUAAAAUUAAAAUGAGGAAAGAGAGAGAUACCAAUAGCCACAAGGAGCAGGACGAGGAUGAAGACAGUUGAAAACAUACGUUUAGAUCCCUCCAUCUUGAUUUUUGUGUGUGUACGUACACGCUUGUGAAACAGAAGGAUAGACAGAGGGAUGUUGAAUGUUGAUUCAAGAUGCCUUGAUUC